UUGAUUCUAUAAACAGCAACUAUAAACACAUAAAUACAGAAGAAUGAACCUCAGAGUCCUGAAAACACUGCUACUAUGAAACUAUGAAAAAGGAGACAGCAAAAUAGACUUGUCAUCCUGUGCAGGUCUCUUACUAAAGCUUCCUGUUCAAAGUCUGGCUGAGAAUUUUUGCUGCUUCUUUCCCUACCUCCUCAUUUCCGAAGGAGGUACCUUUCUAGCUUCUCUGUUGAACAUUUCCUAAAUAAAGUGUGGAUGAAAAGCAAUAGAGGAGGGAAAUACAGAAAAUUAUAAGGCUGAAAUAGAAACUGGCCACAGCAGAGAUUAAAGGCCCUUCCUGGGUUAGCUGAUGCUCACCUACAUUGAUGAGGACAAUCUUUGUUUAGUUUGCUGAUUCAAUUGCUCAUCUCUUCUGGAAACACCUUCACAGACUCACCAGAAAUAAUGUUUUACCAGCCAUCUGGGCAUCUGUUAGCCCAGUCAAGUUGACACUUAAAAUUAACCACCAC
Molecule: non-coding RNA, 506 nt
Filed under: Pan troglodytes (chimpanzee)
Lineage: Eukaryota; Metazoa; Chordata; Mammalia; Primates; Hominidae
Source: RNAcentral